GAAAUCGCGUUGUAUCAAGCCCGUUUAGGGCUAUCCACCGGUUAAAUUUUGCCUAUCCACCGUGUAAACUUAUACGGUCUCUUGAGACCGUUUAAAUCGCUGUACGGCGGAUAAACUCGGAGUUUGAAGAUAAAACAAUGAUUAUUUCGGAUGAAAAAGCAUGGGAUAGUUAUAAAAAUGCACAAUCAUGUAGAGGAGUUAUCUUUUUAAAUCCAAUAAACAUGAAAAACUCACUUUUAACUGGCUUGGUCUUGAGGUACACUGAGGUCACUUGCUCACUUGUAAUUCCGUGGCUUUGCUAUAUUUACGCACACCAGUGUCAUGUUUAGAUGUUAAGUAUAUUAUAUACUCUGGCUUUUAAUUUUCUCCUUCUUUUCUUCUAUUACAUAGUUUGAAAACAAGCAGUAAGACUCCCAAUUUUAGCUAUUGUAAAACAAACAAUGACUUUGGAAAGCCAACAAGUAUACAAAAUAGACAACAAGACGCCGAAAGUCGAAAAAAAAUGUUCGCUCACGUCUAUGCUCACGUUAAUCGCUUUGAUCAGCCAAUCAAAACUUGGGACAAAAUGUUCUUAAAAUUGUUUUGAACAAAAGUGCAAGGUCGAGGAACAAAUUUCGAACAGUAUAAAACUGAAUCAACUGACAAAAGUCAAAUACAACUCACAGUUUUUGCUAUUGCCUUCGACUCUUCGCAUCAAGCCAAAAAUCUUUAAAGAAAUACCCCGUAAGUGAAUUUAAGUGAAUGGGAAACUCAGCAUAAUGUGAAAAUGAAAAGUUUGAUAUAGAUUUGCAGCAACGAAUGGACGAGCAAACUCCAAAUAAAAACAACAACAAACUUUAUUGCACAAGCUUAGUGGAAUUCACAAGUUAUAGAUAAAGCUUCAAAAGUUUACAAAGGCCUAGCAACAGCUGACGUAGAGGUAAGAAAUGUCAAGAAAAUCCGGUUUUCUCCGGUUAAAUUAAAGGUUAUCCUACGGAUAGUUAAACGCGGUACUAAAUGGGCUUCGUACAACGCAAUUUUAUCAGCCGUUUAACUAUCCGCUGGAUAAGAAAUUUAUACGCUGGAUAGCGGCUAAACACAGUUUAAGUUAAACGCCUUUGAUACAACCGGCCCC
Paramuricea clavata is the source of this 1114-nucleotide non-coding RNA. Lineage: Eukaryota; Metazoa; Cnidaria; Anthozoa; Malacalcyonacea; Plexauridae. The record is from the annotation of a GenBank genome assembly.